CUUUUCUGGGCCUCGACAGUGUUAUUUACUUGGCAGUCAAUGGGACAGUCACAAGCCUCCCGGUUUUCAUCUAAAAUAUCUUAAAUUGUGUUCUGAAGACGAACGAAGCUUUUACGAGUUUGGAACGACAUGGGGGAUAACAGAUAUGCUAUGCUGGAUCCUAAAGUAUCUGUUCUCCUGCUGAAUAAGGGGCUGAGGCUGGAUGGGACAAUCCCCCUGGGGAUGUGUUGUGGAUUGAUGCUGGAUUACCUACUCGGAUUAAAGAGAUUAUCAUCCCGUGGCUCACAGGGGAACUGCUUUAUUGAUGCAAGCCCAAAAUCUGAUAAUAAGGAAUGACCUUGGAGCAUGAGUGACACAACCAAGAGCAUGGGGGUGAGCGAUCUGGAACAUGGUUUUUCUCUGAGACUGUCCUUGGGAGAGACUGUCAUAACUGGGGCAGAAAAAUUGUCAAUUAGAUUAGCAAGCUGAAUAACAACCAGGCCUGUAUUGAAGGUGCUCGCCAUUGCUUUUUUAGACUGAAUGUUAUCUAAUGGAUCAGGCAUUCUGUGCUCCAGUGCUUUGUGUAGAAUAGCUACAGACUACGUUAAAUGCAAACUAAUGUAUACUGAUCCCGAUCCCAAUAGAUUUUUAUCAAUGGUGAAGGUUUCUCUCCACAGAAAUGAUGCUGAAAAAUAAAAUUUUUCACCCUGUGCUAUAGGUAAAAUGUUGAAUCGUUACAUACGUUUCAACACCAAAGACCCACAGAUGAGUGGUCAGUCUUAGCAAUGGUUGUUAGGUUUCUUCUCAGCAUGACAAGGGCAAAACUUGCAUUUAGUUGCGACAAUGAAGGUGGAAUAGGAUACGGCAGCUUUAUCUAACGAGACCACCUCAAGCACAAGGAAGAGAAAGGGUCUUUAAACACCCAAGACACAACACUGGCCUUGUAUGUGUUCAUCAUGCACUCUAUUCACUGACUACUGGAACAUGAGCUGAACACACAGCUACAACAAUGCUGAGGGCCUGCCAAGGCCUCUCUCUUUCAGUAUACACAAAAUCAUGAAUCAUCAGAUGUACUGUAUGUAUAAUGUAGUAUGCUUUGUCCAUCCCAAAUUUUGGAGACAAU
Onychostoma macrolepis is the source of this 1102-nucleotide long non-coding RNA. RefSeq lists it as uncharacterized. NCBI's taxonomy places the organism in Eukaryota, Metazoa, Chordata, Actinopteri, Cypriniformes, Cyprinidae. The record is from RefSeq and is a predicted model, not a curated record. The transcript has 3 exons.